GACGAACGCUGGCGGCGUGCUUAACACAUGCAAGUCGAACGGUAAGGCCCCUUCGGGGGUACACGAGUGGCGAACGGGUGAGUAACGCGUGAGCAACCUGCCCUUGACUCUGGAAUAACAGUUGGAAACAGCUGCUAAUACUGGAUAUUCAUCGUCUCCUUCCUGGGGGGUGGUGGAAAGCUCCGGCGGUCAGGGAUGGGCUCGCGGCCUAUCAGCUUGUUGGUGAGGUAAUGGCUCACCAAGGCUUCGACGGGUAGCCGGCCUGAGAGGGCGACCGGCCACACUGGGACUGAGAUACGGCCCAGACUCCUACGGGAGGCAGCAGUGGGGAAUAUUGCACAAUGGGCGCAAGCCUGAUGCAGCAACGCCGCGUGCGGGAUGACGGCCUUCGGGUUGUAAACCGCUUUCAGUAGGGACGAAGGGUGACUGACGGUACCUACAGAAGAAGGACCGGCUAACUACGUG
RNAcentral lists this ribosomal RNA (465 nucleotides) under uncultured bacterium. RNAcentral's name for it is "partial 16S ribosomal RNA". It matches the Rfam family "Bacterial small subunit ribosomal RNA", at positions 28 to 507 of the family's 1533-position model. The record is from RNAcentral.